GGGUUGUGAGGUUAAGCGACUAAGCGUACACGGUGGAUGCCCUGGCAGUCAGAGGCGAUGAAGGGCGUGCUAAUCUGCGAUAAGCGCCGGUAAGGUGAUAUGAACCGUUAUAACCGGCGAUACCCGAAUGGGGAAACCCAGUGUGAUUCGUCACACUAUCAUUAACUGAAUCCAUAGGUUAAUGAGGCGAACCGGGGGAACUGAAACAUCUAAGUACCCCGAGGAAAAGAAAUCAACCGAGAUUCCCCCAGUAGCGGCGAGCGAACGGGGAGGAGCCCAGAGCCUGAAUCAGCAUGUGUGUUAGUGGAAGCGUCUGGAAAGGCGCGCGAUACAGGGUGACAGCCCCGUACACAAAAGCGCAUGUGCUGUGAGCUCGAUGAGUAGGGCGGGACACGUGGUAUCCUGUCUGAAUAUGGGGGGACCAUCCUCCAAGGCUAAAUACUCCUGACUGACCGAUAGUGAACCAGUACCGUGAGGGAAAGGCGAAAAGAACCCCGGCGAGGGGAGUGAAAAAGAACCUGAAACCGUGUACGUACAAGCAGUGGGAGCACAGGUUUACCUGUGUGACUGCGUACCUUUUGUAUAAUGGGUCAGCGACUUAUAUUCUGUAGCAAGGUUAACCGAAUAGGGGAGCCGGAGGGAAACCGAGUCUUAAUUGGGCGUUAAGUUGCAGGGUAUAGACCCGAAACCCGGUGAUCUAGCCAUGGGCAGGUUGAAGGUUGGGUAACACUAACUGGAGGACCGAACCGACUAAUGUUGAAAAAUUAGCGGAUGACCUGUGGCUGGGGGUGAAAGGCCAAUCAAACCGGGAGAUAGCUGGUUCUCCCCGAAAGCUAUUUAGGUAGCGCCUCGUGAAUUCAUCUCCGGGGGUAGAGCACUGUUUCGGCUAGGGGGCCAUCCCGGCUUACCAACCCGAUGCAAACUGCGAAUACCGGAGAAUGUUAUCACGGGAGACACACGGCGGGUGCUAACGUCCGUCGUGAAGAGGGAAACAACCCAGACCGCCAGCUAAGGUCCCAAAGUCAUGGUUAAGUGGGAAACGAUGUGGGAAGGCCCAGACAGCCAGGAUGUUGGCUUAGAAGCAGCCAUCAUUUAAAGAAAGCGUAAUAGCUCACUGGUCGAGUCGGCCUGCGCGGAAGAUGUAACGGGGCUAAACCAUGCACCGAAGCUGCGGCAGCGAACGUAUCACUUAAAGUGAUUCAGCGGGUUACGAUUGACGGAGCGAAGCGACGUCAAAGCGUAUACAAAGUCGAGUCGGUUUAAGGAUACGUUCGUUGGGUAGGGGAGCGUUCUGUAAGCCUGUGAAGGUGGCCUGUGAGGGUUGCUGGAGGUAUCAGAAGUGCGAAUGCUGACAUAAGUAACGAUAAAGCGGGUGAAAAGCCCGCUCGCCGGAAGACCAAGGGUUCCUGUCCAACGUUAAUCGGGGCAGGGUGAGUCGACCCCUAAGGCGAGGCCGAAAGGCGUAGUCGAUGGGAAACGGGUUAAUAUUCCCGUACUUGGUGUUACUGCGAAGGGGGGACGGAGAAGGCUAUGUUGGCCGGGCGACGGUUGUCCCGGUUUAAGCGUGUAGGUGUGUGUUCCAGGUAAAUCCGGUUCACUUUAACACUGAGGCGUGAUGACGAGGCACUACGGUGCUGAAGCAACAAAUGCCCUGCUUCCAGGAAAAGCCUCUAAGCAUCAGGUAACAUCAAAUCGUACCCCAAACCGACACAGGUGGUCAGGUAGAGAAUACCAAGGCGCUUGAGAGAACUCGGGUGAAGGAACUAGGCAAAAUGGUGCCGUAACUUCGGGAGAAGGCACGCUGACACGUAGGUGAAGUGAUUUACUCACGGAGCUGAAGUCAGUCGAAGAUACCAGCUGGCUGCAACUGUUUAUUAAAAACACAGCACUGUGCAAACACGAAAGUGGACGUAUACGGUGUGACGCCUGCCCGGUGCCGGAAGGUUAAUUGAUGGGGUCAGCGCAAGCGAAGCUCCUGAUCGAAGCCCCGGUAAACGGCGGCCGUAACUAUAACGGUCCUAAGGUAGCGAAAUUCCUUGUCGGGUAAGUUCCGACCUGCACGAAUGGCGUAAUGAUGGCCAGGCUGUCUCCACCCGAGACUCAGUGAAAUUGAACUCGCUGUGAAGAUGCAGUGUACCCGCGGCAAGACGGAAAGACCCCGUGAACCUUUACUAUAGCUUGACACUGAACAUUGAGCCUUGAUGUGUAGGAUAGGUGGGAGGCUUUGAAGUGUGGACGCCAGUCUGCAUGGAGCCGACCUUGAAAUACCACCCUUUAAUGUUUGAUGUUCUAACGUGGACCCGUAAUCCGGGUUGCGGACAGUGUCUGGUGGGUAGUUUGACUGGGGCGGUCUCCUCCUAAAGAGUAACGGAGGAGCACGAAGGUUGGCUAAUCCUGGUCGGACAUCAGGAGGUUAGUGCAAUGGCAUAAGCCAGCUUGACUGCGAGCGUGACGGCGCGAGCAGGUGCGAAAGCAGGUCAUAGUGAUCCGGUGGUUCUGAAUGGAAGGGCCAUCGCUCAACGGAUAAAAGGUACUCCGGGGAUAACAGGCUGAUACCGCCCAAGAGUUCAUAUCGACGGCGGUGUUUGGCACCUCGAUGUCGGCUCAUCACAUCCUGGGGCUGAAGUAGGUCCCAAGGGUAUGGCUGUUCGCCAUUUAAAGUGGUACGCGAGCUGGGUUUAGAACGUCGUGAGACAGUUCGGUCCCUAUCUGCCGUGGGCGCUGGAGAACUGAGGGGGGCUGCUCCUAGUACGAGAGGACCGGAGUGGACGCAUCACUGGUGUUCGGGUUGUCAUGCCAAUGGCACUGCCCGGUAGCUAAAUGCGGAAGAGAUAAGUGCUGAAAGCAUCUAAGCACGAAACUUGCCCCGAGAUGAGUUCUCCCUGAGACUUAGAGUCUCCUGAAGGAACGUUGAAGACGACGACGUUGAUAGGCCGGGUGUGUAAGCGCAGCGAUGCGUUGAGCUAACCGGUACUAAUGAACCGUGAGGCUUAACCUUACAACGCCGAAG
RNAcentral lists this ribosomal RNA (3010 nucleotides) under Salmonella enterica. RNAcentral describes it as "23S ribosomal RNA". It matches the Rfam family "Bacterial large subunit ribosomal RNA". The record is from RNAcentral. Lineage: Bacteria; Pseudomonadati; Pseudomonadota; Gammaproteobacteria; Enterobacterales; Enterobacteriaceae.